UACGUAGGUGGCAAGCGUUGUCCGGAUUUACUGGGCGUAAAGAGCGCGCAGGCGGUCUUGUAAGUCGAAUGUGAAAGCCCCGGGCUCAACCUGGGAAUUGCAUUCGAGACUGCUCUGCUAGGGUGCGGAAGAGGGAAGCGGAAUUUCCGGUGUAGCGGUGAAAUGCGUAGAUAUCGGAAGGAACACCAGUGGCGAAAGCGGCUUCCUGGUCCAGCACCGACGUUCAGGCACGAAAGCGUGGGGAGCAAACAGG
This 253-nucleotide ribosomal RNA is filed under the name uncultured bacterium. Its description in RNAcentral is "partial 16S ribosomal RNA". It matches the Rfam family "Bacterial small subunit ribosomal RNA", at positions 524 to 776 of the family's 1533-position model. The record is from RNAcentral.